CCGAUAACCGACAAGGAGUCGUCGUAGGGUUAGUACCAGUAACUAGGGGCU
RNAcentral lists this ribosomal RNA (51 nucleotides) under uncultured bacterium. Its description in RNAcentral is "partial 16S ribosomal RNA". The record is from RNAcentral.